CAGUCGCCGCGGGAAAACGAAGGGGGCUAGCGUUGUUCGGAAUUACUGGGCGUAAAGCGCACGUAGGCGGAUAUUUAAGUCAGGGGUGAAAUCCCGCAGCUCAACUGCGGAACUGCCUUUGAUACUGGGUAUCUUGAGUAUGGAAGAGGUUAGUGGAAUUGCGAGUGUAGAGGUGAAAUUCGUAGAUAUUCGCAGGAACACCAGUGGCGAAGGCGGCUAACUGGUCCAUAACUGACGCUGAGGUGCGAAAGCGUGGGGAGCAAACAGGAUUAGAUACCCGUGUAGUCCCUGUCUCUUAUAC
Molecule: ribosomal RNA, 301 nt
Filed under: uncultured bacterium
Lineage: Bacteria
Description: partial 16S ribosomal RNA
Rfam family: Bacterial small subunit ribosomal RNA
Source: RNAcentral